GUAUAUUAAUGUUUCUGUAUAUGAAACGAUCACAAUAACACUAAUUUUUAAUUUUUUUUUAAAAGUCUUUAGACUUUCUUGAGAAGCGAUAACUAGCCAGUGUUGCACACAUACACCAGAUAUGAAGUGCAGGCACCAAACUGACUUUUUAGCACCUAAAGAAUUAGAAUUUUGAAAACUGCGCUGUAACCACAGUAUUUGACGGUUCUAUGUGACUCUCAGAUAUGAAGUGCACGCCUCAAAUUUACUUUUUAGCACCAAAGAAAUGUGAAUUUCUCAAAGUGCAAUAAAACCACAGUAUUUGACGGUUCUAUUUGACUCUCAGAUAUGAAGUGCACGCCCCAAAUUUACUUUUUAGCACCAAAUAAAUGUGAAUUUUUCAAAGUGCGAUGUAACCAC
This is a non-coding RNA of Pelobates cultripes (western spadefoot toad), 399 nucleotides long. The record is from the annotation of a GenBank genome assembly. Lineage: Eukaryota; Metazoa; Chordata; Amphibia; Anura; Pelobatidae.